Molecule: long non-coding RNA, 1210 nt
Organism: Paramisgurnus dabryanus
Lineage: Eukaryota; Metazoa; Chordata; Actinopteri; Cypriniformes; Cobitidae
Source: RefSeq, a predicted model, not a curated record
AGCAAAAUCACCAGUGUUAAAUUUUCAGGGAUGGUGUUAAAUACACAGUGUUGAUGCUGUUUUAACACUAUCUGGUAAUAAAAUAACACUGCCAUUGCUAGGCCAGUGUUAUAUUCACGACAGUGUCAGUGUUAAACAAGGGUGUUAUCAGAUUUCACUCUGAGCGGUGUAAAUCAAGCCACGCCUCCACUAAACAUAUCCUGUCAGGGAUUUUACCGCCAUUUUCUUUCACAGGAGGACUGAAGAGAUCAGAUGCUAGUUUGGUGAAAGUUCACACUGAGUGCUUCAAAUCAUUCAGACGAGAUGCUGUUUUUAGGGCAGUUUAUUAAAGAAGACCUGACAUGGAUGACUUCCAAUGAGAAACGACUGCUAAUACUUAUAUAAAUUCAUUACAGAAGGACCCUACCAGACUAUAUUUGAAUACGGCAUACCCAUGAAUUCUGGAACUGUUAUUCCUUAACCCAGUUUGGAGGAUAAGAGCUUACCAACUAGUUAUAAAUAUGCUGAGGUGAUGUAUUGCAAAAUAGCCAACAUACAACAAUAUGGAUGACCCUCUGUCUGGUCAACAGGAGUUUAAAUAUGGACGGGACAGUGAUGUGGCAGCUCUUCCCUGGCUCAUUCACCUCUUACCUUUCAUUUGUGAAAGGAAGAAAGAAGAAAGAGGGUCAAUGUGCAACUGAAGCUACUGAUUGUGCUGUGUGAUGAGAAUCAAUCCAUGCUUUGAGGUGGAUGGAUCAGCACAGCCCUGCCUGCUCUGCGUUGGGAACAGAAGUUGCAUCCAGAAUUUUUGCAUCAUUCUGGACCAAAAAGCCAUUCCCUCCAUGAUGAAGACCACUGAUGCAGCCUUCCACUACAUCAUGAGUAAAACAACUGCAGAACUAAAUACCAGGUUGGAACGUAUUUAAGAAAAAUGAAACGUCUUUUGAAUUGAAAUGUCUGUUUUGUUAUGGAAAAAUCUUUAGUAUUGUGAAGGAUAAGCAUUUCUGCCUGCCAGUAAGGUAAUUGCAGUGUAUUUUAAUGUUCAAGUUUUGAGUAGGGUGGCUAAUUUUUUUUAAACUCUCAUUUGAUAUAUUAAAGACCUUAUAAUAAGUGGUUUUCAUGUCACUGCGCUGUGGUAUAAGAUAACUUUCAUUAUUCCAUACUGUAUUCUGUUUCUAAUUGUAGCUGAGGUAUUUAAAUAAGCAGUGUUAAAUGCAAAGUGUUGUGUGUA